This is a long non-coding RNA of Magnolia sinica, 5781 nucleotides long. RefSeq lists it as uncharacterized. The record is from RefSeq and is a predicted model, not a curated record. Lineage: Eukaryota; Viridiplantae; Streptophyta; Magnoliopsida; Magnoliales; Magnoliaceae. The transcript has 2 exons.
AGCGCCCGCCCACAUGUGACCACAGUGACGGGGCGUCACAUCAAGGACCUAGGUCCCUUAACCUAUUUCCUUGGGAUUGAAGUUGCUCAUUCAAGGCGAGGUAUAUUUAUAUCCCAAAGUAUGUGUUGGAUCUCUUGAAAGAUGCAUAAAAAACUACUCAGUCUAUGUUAAAAGAGGAGAAAAGGGUACAACUAUUCUGCUUGUAUAUGUUGAUGAUAUCAUCCUCAUGGGAUAUGAUGAAGAAAUAAUUCAGGGCCUUAAAUUCUAUUUGAGAACACAAUUAGAAAUCAAUGACCUAGGUCCCUUAACCUAUUUCCUUGGGAUUGAAGUUGCUCAUUCAAGGCGAGUUAUAUUUAUAUCCCAAAGUAUGUGUUGGAUCUCUUGAAAGAUAAACUAGAGAGUAUGCCAACUGAGUCCCAAGUGGAAGUCAACCAUCAACUGAUUGUAGAUGGGGGCAAUCUCCUAGUCCCAAGUAAUCCUAGUCUCUAUCAAAGGCUUGUGGGGAAGCUAAUAUACUUGAGAAUCACGAGACCUAAAAUCCCAUAUGCUGUAGGGGUCGCUAAUCAAUUCAUGCAUUCUCUUGGAGAACGUCAUAUGGAGGUGGUUACUAAGAUUCUUUGAUAUUGUUAAUGCAUGAGGAUGGAGGCUGUACAGUUGUACGGCCCACUUAAUGGAUGUGGAUGUGGGCCAUCCUACUGUAUGCUAGUAUUUAUAUUGUGGAUUGGGAGUUGUUCGGAAUAUGAAAUUAUUAGUGAGGAUUUGUACUUUUUAGUUUUUAUUAUUAAUAUAAAGGGGAAGAGUGGGGACCUGCAACCCUAAAUCAUUUUCCUCUUUUCUCCCAACUUUCUUUUAUCUCUCUUUUCUUCUCUCUUUAAUCUAUGAUUCUACAUGGCAUCAAAGCAUCCUUGUUGCUGAUCUAAUUUGUCAUUCUCUCUUUUGUCCUAUGAUUCGUUUUUCUUCUUUUGUUCUUUAGUCUUUCUCACCCCUCUUGUGCUAUUUUUUUAAAGAAACCUAGGGUUUAUUUUCAUUUUGUUGUGCUAGCCUUUGUAAUGGUCCAUGCAUGAGAAGGGGAUGAAGUGUUCAUGAUCAUCACCUCUCGUGUGUGGGAUGUAUAGAUGUGUUGGUUGAUUUCCAUUGUCUAAUGCCGUGUUCGUGAUCAUUGACUCUCAUGAUUGGUUGGAACUUGUGGACGAGUGGGCUGGUUAUUCUCUUCAAGUGUGGCGUGUAUACUGUGUGAAGCGUACAAAUUGGGUGUUCGUUGGUCAUGAAAGGUAAGCCUGUGUUCAUAUAAGCUUGUGGUAUAUAUUCUAGUUCCUUGUCUUGGAUGGAAGGGAAAAGUAAUUCGAGAAUUGGAUUCAUAAAUCCAUAUGAUUUUUUAGGGGUCUAAAUAACAUCUAUUAAAUUAAAUGGAACAAACUAUCUCCACUAAUGGAACCUUCGAUUAGUGAGAAUAUAAUGUAUUUGGAUAUUGCAAAAGAAGUGUGGGAUGCAUUACAAGAGAUGUGCUCAUCCGACAAAAAUAUCUCUUGGACAUGUCAUUUAUUUGAGGAAAUGUUUGAGCUUCAACAAAGAGAAAUCACUAGGUGAAUAUUAAUCAAAACUUAGAGGAAUGUGGGACGAGUUAAAUGUGUAUCAAUAUUUUACUACUGGUUUGGAGAAGCAACAUCAAGAAAGAGAGGAGUUUUGUUUGCGUAAGAUUUUAUCCAGCUUAAAACACAAGUAUGAAACAGUUAGUGUACAAAUUUUGGGUGGCAAGGUUCCAUCUUUGAAUGGAUGACGUGUAUCUCUUGGCUCCACAAGUGGAGCCAAUGACAAUUCUACUUUAUCACCAUUUAUUGGUCAAGGCUGAAGUGGCAGUCAGAGUAGCAGAGGCAAUCAAGGUGGUCAUGGUGAAGCAAGGGAAUGUCAUGGACCUAGGAAGUGCAUUCAUUGUGGGCAUAUGAAUCAUUUUGUUGAAAAAUGUUGGAAUUUUCAUGGAAAGCCAACAUGGGCUAAUCAGGUAUCUCACAUUGGAUAGAAUAGUGGGUUUUAUCUGGCUGGUUCUAUGUCUAAAAUCAACAGCCACGUAUGUCUGGAGAGACGGUUAUGCUUAUGCAAGAAAAGUAUUCUAAUUUGCUGAAAAAUCUAUUCCCACUGUACCACAAUUGAAAGUUUACUCAUGACGAAAACGGGAAGAUAUUGCGGCCAAUCGUGAUGUACCAUCAACCAUAUCUUCUUCUAAGCCUAAUGAUCCAGUGAGUUCUCUAGAUAAGUUUGAUGUUCCUUUUGCCUUGAGAAAAGGUAAUUGUGCAUGUAUUAGUCAUCCUAUUUCUAAACAUGUCUCUUUUCAAUGCUUAUCCCACUUUCAUAGUGCCCUAUCCUUGCCCUCUUACUCUAUUCCCAAGUUAUAUUAGGAAGUACUUUUCUAUGAGGAGUGGAAGUAAGCAAAGGAAGAGGAAAUGGCUGCACUUUAUCAUAAUAACACUUGGGACCUAACCAAUCUACCUACUGGUAAAUGUGAUGUUGGUUUUAGAUGGGUGUACACUGUUAAGUUUCAUCUUGAUAGUACAGUUGAAUGUUUAAAGGCUCUCUUGAUUUGUUAAGUAAUAUACUCAAACCCUUGUAUUGAUUAUACCGAUACCUUCUCUCAUGUUGCUAAGUUGAACUCCAUUUUUGUUUAUCCUCUGUGGCUGUUAAUCGUGGCUGACCUCUUCCAACUUUAUGUCAAAAAUGUGUUUAUUCAUGGUGAUCUCAUUGAGGAGGUCCAUAUGGAGCAACCACUUGAAUUUGUUGUAGAAGGGGAGUCAAACAAAGUUUGUAAACUGUGCAAUGCGAUUUAUGGGUUGAAGUAGUAAUCACGUGCAUGGUUUGAUGUAAAGUUAUGUUAAAAUAUGACUUUGUUUGAUGUCAAAUUGAUCAUUAUGUCUUUGUAUGGGAGGGUACCUCUGGUCUUAUUGUGUUAGUGGUAUAUGUUGAUGAUAUUGUUGUUAUCAAGGUUGUCAAUAGGGGGAUUGGGGAUCUUAAGAAGUAUCUACAAAUGCAUUUUCUUACAAAAUAUUUUAGUCAUUUUCGAACCUUUCUUGGUAUAGAAGUUGCCAAAUCCUAGGAAGGAGUUAAUGUCUCAAUGAAAAUAUGUUUUGGAUUUGCUCAUGGAAACGAGUCUUCUUGGUACCAAGCUAGUUAAUUGUUUGAAUCACAAAUUGGUGAUCAAGGAGAUAUAGUUGAAGAACUAGGGGGGUUUAGAAGAUUGGUUGGGAGACUUAUCUAAUUUUCACUUGGCCAUACAUAUUUUAUGCUGCGAGUGUGGUGAGCCAAUUUAUGAGCUUUAUGAGGGUACCUCACAUGAAUGCAUUUGUUUGGAUUCUUUGGUAUCUUAAAGGAUCAUUAGGACAUGGAAUUCUCUGCCGACGAAAUAGUAUCUUCAAAUCAUAAGGUUCUCUGAUGUAGACUGAGCAUGUUCUUGACAGAUAGGUAGUCUACUACUAGGUACUGCACAUUUAUGGGAGGAAAUGUGGUUAUGCAGAAGAGUAAGAGGCAGAGUUUUGUGGCUUUAUCAAGCAUUGAAGCAGGAUAUAGAGUAGUGGCUCAAACUACCUUUGAGUUAAUUUGAAUCAAGAGAUUAUUGCAGAAAAUGAAGUUUGCGGUGAAUCUACCAAUGUAGUUGUUUUGUGAUAACCAGGCAACAUCCCCAAUUGUAAAUAAUCCAACCUAUCUAAGAACCAAACAUAUUGAAGUCGAUUAUCGCUUUAUAUGUGAGGUCUCCAGUGAUGAAAUCUCUACACCAUAUGUCCGGUCUCAGGUUCAACUUAUUGAUAUGUUCACUAAGGCCCUUCCUCACAGUCAGUCUUAUACUUAUAUACUCUAAGCUUGGCACUGGCAACAUCUAUGCUCCAUCUUGUGGGGGUGCUAAGCAUGAAGAUGUGGGUUGUACUACCUGCGACCUGCCUAAUGGAUGUGGAUGUGGACUGUCCCAUUUUACGGCCCACCUAGCUUUUUUCUCUUCUAUAUUUAGUAUUUAUAUUGGAUUAAGACUUGUUUGGAAUAUGGACAUUAUUAGUGAGGGUAUUUUUGUAUUUCUUGGUUUUUAUUGUUAAUAAAAAUGGGAAGAGUGGGGACGUGUAGCCCUAAUUCUUUUUCCUUUCUUCUCCCACCCUUCUCUUCUCUCUCUUUUCCUCUCCUCUUCUUAUCUCUUAAUCUAUGAUUCUACAAAUAUCUUUAGGCUUCUUGGAAAAGGCAGGUGUAAAAGAAUUGGUAAAAAUAAGUUAUUAACUACCUGUUACUAGAACACUCUUAUGAACAGUAUCAUAACUUACGUGAUAGAUAAACUGAUAACGAUCAAAAAAUUGACCCAUGCAUUUGGGACCAUUGUUUCAAGUGGAAUAAAAAAGAACAAUGUAAUGGAAAUACAUCUUGAUAUGCAAAUGUCAAGGCCCAUAAUCCCCAUGUGGUCAUUCGUGUCCUCCUUGAUGUAGAUUCACAACGAACAAGACAUUUGCAUCAGAAAAGAAAUUUGAAAUCUGUCCUAUGCUUAUACAAUCUUAUAAAAACUUGCAAACUUGAGCAUAUGCGCACUUGCACCAAGCCAUCCAUAUAGAGAGAUUUUUUCUUCAUCGAUGUGGAACCACAAUGGAAAAAUUGAAAAACAAAUGACAAAUUAAAUAUAUGGAGUUUUCUUUAUCCUUCGGUUUAGGGUUUAUUUUAGAAGAAAACCAAUAAAUAGAUCUUCAGACCAUGGUUUUGAAUCUGUCAUGAUAUGGUUGUAUUGGCUUUUUGGUUACUGCAUGGGCUGACCCUGUUACGCACAAUGGGGUUGGGGUUAACUGGUCCAAUUAUUUAAAAAAAUCUCUUGUAUCAGCCUAGGCUGAUACGACCAUAAAGCUGGAUUUUCUUUUUUUUGGAAAAAAAUCUCAAAAUUUGUUGGUAAAUUUCUAAAAAAAAAAAAAAAGAGAGAGAAAGAAGUGGGGAUCCAAAAUAUGUAUUUCUUUUUUGUUUUGGACAUGUAUUUGAUGGUGUAAUGGGACAUUCUUUCAUAAGAAUGUUGUUUGUUGGGCAGUGCCGGCUUGAAUUGCUGAAAGUCGACCAAAUAGGCCCUAAUCAAACCCAAACUAAGCAUGAUUUGGUAGAUUUGGCCUGUUACAUAUAAAUAAAAUUUAAAAAAAGAGGGAAAAAUGAAACAAGCGAUGGUCUGCCCAUUCUUUUGAUAUUUCCGAAAAUGGUCCACUCUGCUUUGGUUCAUCGAAUGCCAAUCAGGUUUUGUGUUUUGAUCCUCAAAAUAGGCCAGUAUCUCAUUUGGAAUUAAUUUCUAUGCUUCAUUCAUGGUCAAAAUGAAUAAACAAGUGAAAAACGAGUGACAGUUUGAAAAUAAAACCUUUCAUAAUGCGUCCUUUAUGGUUGUAUCAGUGCCGUAACGGUGCCGAUAUGGGGCGUAUCGACCCGCAUUGGCUGAUAUGGAUCAAUAUGGCCCUUUUUCAUAACAGACUGAUUCACCACCGUAUCACUUAGUGGGCUGAUUGUUUCCUUUACGUAACAGCCUUAAUGUAAUUGUUAUUAUUAUUAUUAUUAUUAUUUUUUUGUUUUCUUAAAAUACCAUGGGUCUGACACACCAUUGAAUACAUGUUAAAGAAGGAUCAUCCCUCAGUUGUUAACUUUGCAACCUGAUUAGCAUAACACCCAGAACCUGUUAAAAUGGUUGUUAGGGCCAAACCAGGUCAUUAAACCUUCUAUUUCUGGUUCAACUAAACCCAAGUAAGUCGAACUGGUCUAGCACUUAAAACAGUUGUCAAAAUUCUUUACCUCCAUUUU